GGAGAGCUGUCCGAGUGGUCGAAGGAGCACGAUUGGAAAUCGUGUAGGCGGUCAACUCCGUCUCAAGGGUUCGAAUCCCUUGCUCUCCGCCACUGAUACUUA
Molecule: transfer RNA, 102 nt
Filed under: Bacillus subtilis
Lineage: Bacteria; Bacillati; Bacillota; Bacilli; Caryophanales; Bacillaceae
Description: tranfer RNA-Ser
Rfam family: tRNA (bases 1-89)
About the family: Transfer RNA (tRNA) molecules are approximately 80 nucleotides in length. Their secondary structure includes four short double-helical elements and three loops (D, anti-codon, and T loops).
Source: RNAcentral